RNAcentral lists this transfer RNA (72 nucleotides) under Sphaerodactylus townsendi. RNAcentral's name for it is "tRNA-Pro". It matches the Rfam family "tRNA". From Rfam's summary of the family: Transfer RNA (tRNA) molecules are approximately 80 nucleotides in length. Their secondary structure includes four short double-helical elements and three loops (D, anti-codon, and T loops). Further hydrogen bonds mediate the characteristic L-shaped molecular structure. tRNAs have two regions of fundamental functional importance: the anti-codon, which is responsible for specific mRNA codon recognition, and the 3' end, to which the tRNAs corresponding amino acid is attached (by aminoacyl-tRNA synthetases). tRNAs cope with the degeneracy of the genetic code in two manners: having more than one tRNA (with a specific anti-codon) for a particular amino acid; and 'wobble' base-pairing, i.e. permitting non-standard base-pairing at the 3rd anti-codon position. Lineage: Eukaryota; Metazoa; Chordata; Lepidosauria; Squamata; Sphaerodactylidae. The record is from RNAcentral.
GCCAUUGUGAUUUAGUGGUAAGAGUAUAAGACUAGGAUGUAUGAGACUUGGGUUCAAAUCCCUACACUGUCA